Long non-coding RNA from Lolium perenne, 1293 nucleotides. RefSeq lists it as uncharacterized. NCBI's taxonomy places the organism in Eukaryota, Viridiplantae, Streptophyta, Magnoliopsida, Poales, Poaceae. The record is from RefSeq and is a predicted model, not a curated record.
CCGUCGAGUGCCAGAGUGCGAUUGCCCAUAUAUACCAUAACCUAGUCCACGCAUCUCGCGGCCGCCUACGCCCAGGCAAUGCCCCCGCCGCCAGCCAGCCCCCGCCGACGUUGAUACCCAUAGCCACAACACCGUCCGCCGCCGCCUCCCCCAAUAACCGCAGAUCUACACGCUUCGCCACCAAUCCUCGCGAAGAACCUAGUAAACGCCCUCCUCCUCCUCAUCCCCCUUCCAGAUUCUCUGCGAUUUUGCUCAGGUCCUUGUAGUGGCUGUGAAGUUAUUUUCUGCUCAGCCGACAUUGUUAGCUUGAAGCUAACUUGCUAGUAAAGCUGUGAGCCUGAGACAUCCAAAUCUUGUUCCACUUCCCUAGAGCAACCAUAGAGCCCAAGCCUUCCUACCUUGGCUUUUCUGACUAGCUCAACAUGUCUGAGGAAGAGCAACGUGGUUGGAUGCACAGUGGGUGGAGCGAACAUGGGCGCCAUUCUGCCGAGUGGGUGCGCAACACAGAUGCAUUUCUCGACCAUGCUUUCCAGAUUAUGCCUAACGCUGACCAGCUGGGUGUGAAGUGCCCAUGUGACCAGUGCUGCAACAGAAUUAUGCAGAAGCGACCGAUGGUGAGAUCCCACCUUUUUGAACGGGGUUUCAUGCUAUGCUAUAAUAGAUGGACCGAACAUGGAGAGCCUCCUGUUGUUAGUUCGACCAGAACAGAGGAGCCCCUUCACAGUAGAACUGAACUCCCACGUCUAUCGUUCGCUCAACAAAUGAUGGAACUUAAAUCAAAAUUCAAGUUUUCAGAUGAAUGUGUCGACGACCUCCUGGCUAUAGUGUGUGAAGCUGCCCCAGAGGGUCAUAAAGUGCCUGCAAAUGUGCAAGAGUGCAAGAAGUUGCUGGGUCACCUUGAAACACCAAGUAUCAAGACUGAUGAGACUGAGGGGGAAAGCUCAAAGAGAAAACAUGGUCGUAUACCUCGAAAGUGAUGCGCUGGGUGGCUGAAGGAUUGUCUGGUGGUGGCUUCGUUGCAAUUGAUCCUGGUAUUGGAGGUUUCCACCAAAGACGACCAGUUCCAUUAUGAGAUAAUGUUGAUAUGUUGAGUGUCGUACUUUUGUUGAUCAAUUCGGUGUGAAUGAAUUGGAGCUCUAAGUGCUAGUUAACACAUCGAGAUGUCUGAGCUCCAGGUUAUUAUUUAGAGACACCUACCAUGAGUCUUUUGAUGAUGUAUGAGCUCUUAAAUUUUUGUUAACGCGUGUUAUGAAUACUCUUAAGUACUAAAUGACUUUUAGUGUUCAGUAUGUC